UGCGUUCAUAAACUUUGAAUUUUGCUUAGCAUUUGUAAUAUGUUUCAAUCUUUAUCACUUAUCAUAUUUACCUUUACAAGUUUAAUAUGUGUUUGAAAUAAUAAAUGGUUUGCAUAUUGUUUUCUUUUUUAGCUCACCUGGCCCGAAGUACCAAGUGAGCUUUUCUCAUCACUUUGCGUCCGUCGUCCGUCGUUCGUCGUUAGCUUUUACAAAAAUCUUCUCCUCUGAAACUACUGGGCCAAAUUUAACCAAACUUGGCCACAAUCAUCAUUGGGGUAUCUAGUUUAAAAAUGUGUGGCGUGACCCGGCCAACCAACCAAGAUGGCCGACAUGGCUAAAAAUAGAACAUAGGUGUAAAAUGUAGAUUUUUGCUUAUAACUCUGACACCAAAGCAUUUAGAGCAAAUCUGGUAAAAUUGUUUAUCAGGGAAAGAUAUAUCUGCAUUUCAUUUUCAGACGAAUCUGACAACCGGUUGCUGGGUUGCUGCCCCUGAAUUGGCAAUUUUAAGGAAAUUAUACCGUUUUGUGGCUAUUAUCUUGAAUAUUAUUAUAGAUAGAGAUAAACUGCAAACAGCAAUAAUGUUCAGCAAAGUAAGAUCUACAAAUCAGUUAAUAUGACUAAAAUGGUCAGUUGACCCCUUAAUGAGUUUUUGCACUUUAUAGUCAUUUUUUAUUAUCUUAUCUUUUACAAAAAUCUUCUCCUCUAAAUCUACUGGUCCAAAUUUAACCAUACUUGGUCAUAAUCAUCAUUGAUGUAUCUAGUUUAAAAAUGUGUGUGUUUACCCUGUCACCCAACCAAGAUGGCCGCCAUGGCUAAAAAAGAACAUAAGGGUAAAAUGUAGAUUUUGGCUUAUAACUCUGAAACCAAAGCAUUAAGAGCAAUUCAGACAUGGGUUAAAUUGUUUUGCAAGUCAAGAUCUGUCUGCCCUGAAAUUUUCAGAUGAAUCCGACAACUGGUUGUUUGGUUGCUGCCCCUGAAUUGGAAAUUUUUAAGGAAAUUUUGCUGUUUUUGGUUAUUAUCUUGAAUAAUAUUAUAGAUAAAGAUAAACUGUAAACAGCAAUAAUGUUCAGCAAAGUAAGAUCCACAAAUAAGUCAACAUGAACAAAAAAGGUCAGGAGUUAUUGCCCUUUAUAGUCAAUUUUUAAUAAUUUUGUAAAUUUUGUAAAUUUUUCUAAAUUUUAACAAAAUAUUUUCCUCUGUAACUAAUGGGCCAAGUUCAUUAUAAAUUGAGAUAAUUGUAAGAAGCAAGAAUGUUCAGUAAAGUCAGAUCAACAAACUUAUCACCAUCACCAAAAC
RNAcentral lists this long non-coding RNA (1296 nucleotides) under Mytilus galloprovincialis (Mediterranean mussel). Lineage: Eukaryota; Metazoa; Mollusca; Bivalvia; Mytilida; Mytilidae. The record is from RNAcentral.